RNAcentral lists this ribosomal RNA (253 nucleotides) under uncultured bacterium. Its description in RNAcentral is "partial 16S ribosomal RNA". It matches the Rfam family "Bacterial small subunit ribosomal RNA", at positions 524 to 775 of the family's 1533-position model. The record is from RNAcentral.
UACGGAGGGUGCGAGCGUUGUCCGGAAUCAUUGGGCGUAAAGGGCGCGUAGGUGGCGGGACAAGCGUGCGGUGAAAGCUCGGGGCUCAACCCCGAGUCGGCCGUGCGAACUGUUUUGCUUGAGCACUGUAGAGGCAGGCGGAAUUCCGGGUGUAGCGGUGGAAUGCGUAGAGAUCCGGAAAGAACACCGGUGGCGAAGGCGGCCUGCUGGGCAGUAGCUGACACUGAGGCGCGACAGCGUGGGGAGCAACAGG